ACGGAGGGUGCAAGCAUUAAUCGGAUUAACUGGGCGUAAAGGGCGCGUAGGCGGCAAAUCAAGUCAGAUGUGAAAUUCCGAAGCUUAACUUCGGAGCUGCAUCUGAAACUGAUUAGCUAGUGGGUAGACGGAGAAAAUGGAAUUCCACAUGUAGCGGUGAAAUGCGUAGAUAUGUGGAGGAACACCGGUGGCGAAAGCGGUUUUCUAGUUUAUACCAGACGCUGAGGCGCGAAAGCGAGGGGAGCAAACAG
This 251-nucleotide ribosomal RNA is filed under the name uncultured prokaryote. Its description in RNAcentral is "partial 16S rRNA". It matches the Rfam family "Bacterial small subunit ribosomal RNA", at positions 525 to 775 of the family's 1533-position model. The record is from RNAcentral.